This 468-nucleotide ribosomal RNA is filed under the name uncultured bacterium. Its description in RNAcentral is "partial 16S ribosomal RNA". It matches the Rfam family "Bacterial small subunit ribosomal RNA", at positions 28 to 507 of the family's 1533-position model. The record is from RNAcentral.
GACGAACGCUGGCGGCGUGCUUAACACAUGCAAGUCGAACGGAAAGGCCCUGCUUUUGUGGGGUGCUCGAGUGGCGAACGGGUGAGUAACACGUGAGUAACCUGCCCUUGACUUUGGGUUAACUUCAGGAAACUGGGGCUAAUACCGGAUAGGAGCUCCUGCUGCAUGGUGGGGGUUGGAAAGUUUCGGCGGUUGGGGAUGGACUCGCGGCUUAUCAGCUUGUUGGUGGGGUAGUGGCUUACCAAGGCUUUGACGGGUAGCCGGCCUGAGAGGGUGACCGGCCACAUUGGGACUGAGAGACGGCCCAGACUCCUACGGGAGGCAGCAGUGGGGAAUAUUGCACAAUGGGCGGAAGCCUGAUGCAGCAACGCCGCGUGCGGGAUGACGGCCUUCGGGUUGUAAACCGCUUUCGCCUGUGACGAAGCGUGAGUGACGGUAAUGGGUAAAGAAGCACCGGCUAACUACGUG